CUACGGGUUGCAGCAGUGGGGAAUAUUGCACAAUGGACGAAAGUCUGAUGCAGCAACGCCGCGUGGAGGAUGACACUUUUCGGAGCGUAAACUCCUUUUAUAUCCCAAGAUAAUGACGGUAGGAUAUGAAUAAGCACCGGCUAACUCCGUGCCAGCAGCCGCGGUAAUACGGGGGGUGCAAGCGUUACUCGGAAUCACUGGGCGUAAAGAGCGUGUAGGCGGGUUUGUAAGUUGGAAGUGAAAUCCUAUGGCUUAACCAUAGAACUGCUUCCAAAACUGCUUACCUAGAAUGUGGGAGAGGUAGAUGGAAUUUCUGGUGUAGGGGUAAAAUCCGUAGAGAUCAGAAGGAAUACCGAUUGCGAAGGCGAUCUACUGGAACAUAAUUGACGCUGAGACGCGAAAGCGUGGGGAGCAAACAGGAUUAGAUACCCCAGUAGUC
Molecule: ribosomal RNA, 439 nt
Filed under: uncultured bacterium
Lineage: Bacteria
Description: partial 16S ribosomal RNA
Rfam family: Bacterial small subunit ribosomal RNA
Source: RNAcentral